AUUGAACGCUGGCGGCAGGCUUAACACAUGCAAGUCGAGCGGGGGAAGGUAGCUUGCUACCGGACCUAGCGGCGGACGGGUGAGUAAUGCUUAGGAAUCUGCCUAUUAGUGGGGGACAACAUCUCGAAAGGGAUGCUAAUACCGCAUACGUCCUACGGGAGAAAGCAGGGGAUCUUCGGACCUUGCGCUAAUAGAUGAGCCUAAGUCGGAUUAGCUAGUUGGUGGGGUAAAGGCCUACCAAGGCGACGAUCUGUAGCGGGUCUGAGAGGAUGAUCCGCCACACUGGGACUGAGACACGGCCCAGACUCCUACGGGAGGCAGCAGUGGGGAAUAUUGGACAAUGGGGGGAACCCUGAUCCAGCCAUGCCGCGUGUGUGAAGAAGGCCUUAUGGUUGUAAAGCACUUUAAGCGAGGAGGAGGCUACUUUAGUUAAUACCUAGAGAUAGUGGACGUUACUCGCAGAAUAAGCACCGGCUAACUCUGUGCCAGCAGCCGCGGUAAUACAGAGGGUGCGAGCGUUAAUCGGAUUUACUGGGCGUAAAGCGUGCGUAGGCGGCUUAUUAAGUCGGAUGUGAAAUCCCCGAGCUUAACUUGGGAAUUGCAUUCGAUACUGGUGAGCUAGAGUAUGGGGGAGGAUGGUAGAAUUCCAGGUGUAGCGGUGAAAUGCGUAGAGAUCUGGAGGAAUACCGAUGGCGAAAGCAGCCAUCUGGCCUAAUACUGACGCUGAGUACGAAAGCAUGGGGAGCAA
This 748-nucleotide ribosomal RNA is filed under the name Acinetobacter baumannii OIFC109. RNAcentral describes it as "bacterial SSU rRNA". It matches the Rfam family "Bacterial small subunit ribosomal RNA", at positions 28 to 771 of the family's 1533-position model. The record is from RNAcentral. Lineage: Bacteria; Pseudomonadati; Pseudomonadota; Gammaproteobacteria; Moraxellales; Moraxellaceae.